AAAUUUUAUUCUUUAAUUUUUUGUAUUAAUCAUAGAUAAAAUAAAUUCUGUAUAUUUUAAUUUUAAAUUAAAAAUAAAAAAAGGUAAAUUAUACUUUUACUCUCUGAACUUUCGGCGGAAUUUUAUUUUAUCCUCUAAACUCCUAAAAUAAAUAUAUAACACUAUAAACUUUAAUAUUUCAUUCAUGUUAUCUCUUUCGUCAAGUUUUCGACACGCUUUGUUAACUGAAACUGACAAGAUGGGUAACAUGAAUGAAAUAUUAGAGUUUAAGAGUAUUAGAUAUCUAUUUUUUGAGUUUGGAAGGUAAAGUAAAACUCCAUCAAAAUUUCAUGAAUAACAGAAAUAUUUGAUUGUUGAAAUUUUUUUUUACAAAAAUAUUUAAUUAUAUUAGAAGGAUAGCUUAAAGAAAAAUAUUGAAAAAA
Molecule: long non-coding RNA, 422 nt
Filed under: Ananas comosus (pineapple)
Lineage: Eukaryota; Viridiplantae; Streptophyta; Magnoliopsida; Poales; Bromeliaceae
Description: long non-coding RNA (ACOM_LNC033844)
Source: RNAcentral